CAGCACAGUAAGAGCUUGCUCUUAUGGGUGGCGAGUGGCGGACGGGUGAGGAAUACAUCGGAAUCUACCUUUUCGUGGGGGAUAACGUAGGGAAACUUACGCUAAUACCGCAUACGACCUUCGGGUGAAAGCAGGGGACCUUCGGGCCUUGCGCGGAUAGAUGAGCCGAUGUCGGAUUAGCUAGUUGGCGGGGUAAAGGCCCACCAAGGCGACGAUCCGUAGCUGGUCUGAGAGGGUGAUCAGCCACACUGGAACUGAGACACGGUCCAGACUCC
RNAcentral lists this ribosomal RNA (275 nucleotides) under uncultured Stenotrophomonas sp. RNAcentral describes it as "partial 16S ribosomal RNA". It matches the Rfam family "Bacterial small subunit ribosomal RNA", at positions 67 to 339 of the family's 1533-position model. The record is from RNAcentral. Lineage: Bacteria; Pseudomonadati; Pseudomonadota; Gammaproteobacteria; Lysobacterales; Lysobacteraceae.